This 857-nucleotide ribosomal RNA is filed under the name bacterium. RNAcentral describes it as "bacterial SSU rRNA". It matches the Rfam family "Bacterial small subunit ribosomal RNA", at positions 66 to 941 of the family's 1533-position model. The record is from RNAcentral.
GCGGAUGACGGAGCUUGCUCCUUGAUUCAGCGGGGACGGGUGAGAAUGCCUAGGAAUUGCCUGGUAGUGGGGACAACGUUUCGAAAGGACGCUAAUACCGCAUACGUCCUCGGGAGAAAGCAGGGACCUUCGGGCCUUGCGCUAUCAGAGAGCCUAGGUCGGAUUAGCUAUUGGUGGGGUAAUGGCUCACAAGGCGACGACCGUAACUGGUCUGAGAGGAGAUCAGUCACACUGGAACUAGACACGGUCCAGACCCUACGGGAGGCAGAGUGGGGAAUAUUGGACAAUGGGCGAAAGCCUGAUCAUGCCGCGUGUGUGAAGAAGGUCUUCGGAUUGUAAAGCACUUUAAGUUGGGAGGAAGGGCAGUAAGUUAAUACCUUGCUGUUUUGACGUUACCGACAGAAUAAGCACCGGCUAACUCUGUGCCAGCAGCCGCGGUAAUGACAGAGGGUGCAAGCGUUAAUCGGAAUUACUGGGCGUAAAGCGCGCGUAGGUGGUUUGUUAAGUUGGAUUGUGAAAGCCCCGGGCUCAACCUGGGAACUGCAUCCAAAACUGGCAAGCUAGAGUACGGAGAGGGUGGUGGAAUUUCCUGUGUAGCGGUGAAAUGCGUAGAUAUAGGAAGGAACACCAGUGGCGAAGCGACCACCUGGACUGAUACUGACACUGAGGUGCGAAAGCGUGGGGAGCAAACAGGAUUAGAUACCCGGUAGUCCACGCCCGUAAACGAUGUCAACUAGCCGUUGGAAUCCUUGAGAUUUUAGUGGCGCAGCUAACGAUUAAGUUGACCGCCUGGGGAGUACGGCCGCAAGGUUAAAACUCAAAUGAAUUGACGGGGGCCCGCACAGCGGUGGAGCAUG